RNAcentral lists this ribosomal RNA (503 nucleotides) under uncultured bacterium. RNAcentral's name for it is "partial 16S ribosomal RNA". It matches the Rfam family "Bacterial small subunit ribosomal RNA", at positions 30 to 523 of the family's 1533-position model. The record is from RNAcentral.
AUUGAACGCUGGCGGCAGGCUUAACACAUGCAAGUCGAGCGGGGUGAUGGUGGUUGCACUAUCACUUAGCGGCGGACGGGUGAGUAAUGCUUAGGAAUCUGCCUAUUAGUGGGGGACAACAUCUCGAAAGGGAUGCUAAUACCGCAUACGUCCUACGGGAGAAAGCAGGGGAUCACUUGUGACCUUGCGCUAAUAGAUGAGCUUAAGUCGGAUUAGCUAGUUGGUGGGGUAAAGGCCUACCAAGGCGACGAUCUGUAGCGGGUCUGAGAGGAUGGUCCGCCACACUGGGACGGAGACACGGCCCAGACUCCUACGGGAGGCAGCAGGGGGGAAUAGUGGACAAUGGGGGGAACCCUGAUCCAGCCAUGCCGCGUGUGUGAAGAAGGCCUUAUGGUUGUAAAGCACUUUAAGCGAGGAGGAGGCUCUUUUGGUUAAUACCCAAGAUGAGUGGACGUUACUCGCAGAAUAAGCACCGGCUAACUCUGUGCCAGCCGCCGCGGUAA